GGCUUGCUGGAGGCCAGAAGACUCCAGACACAUUGUUACAACUCGGAGGAGUGACAUCCUGACGGACAAAGUGCUUGGCCAGAUGCACAUAGCUCCUUAGUGGCAGAGUUAGCAGGGAGCUGAGGCACCCAGGUCCUACGCGGUGCCCACAUCACCCCGUUUUAUUGUGUGUCUGCGAAGGCUUGAUGCCCUGCAGGGCCCCCUGGAAGGGAGAGCGCCGAUGUCUAGAGAACACGGAUGUGGCUGCAGAGAGCGGUGGAUCACACAGUAGGAAGCUGACCUUUCUUCAGUUCUUUCCCAGCCCAUCGGAUUACCUCCCAGAGAAAGGCUCUGGUGAGGGAGCCUUCCCGGAGCAGCAGUGCCGCGCAGCAGCCUUUCAAAAUGAAUGCAUUUACGUAAAGAAAGCAAGUCGAUUUAAUACAAAUACUCAGUUUGCAUAAUAGUGCUGGUUGCCUGCAGACCAGACAGAGCAAACAGCAGAUUCCAGAAAGACCGAAGUCAGAAAACCCCACAAGAUUUCCUGAGAUAAAAACCUUUGGCCCCGGAGGUGGUGCGACCUUCAGGCACCUGCCCAGACGACACGAAGCCCCUCCCUCCCUCUGCACUCCCCACCGGAGGCCUUCACCGGACCAUUCAUCCAACCUUCCCGCCCUGAACAACGGACACGUCCUCCCUGGAACAAGAAACGGCUGCCAACAAAUCACCUACAUAAACAUGUCAGUACCUCAUACCCCCUCCCACCCCACCUCUCCCCGCCAUUCCCUCCCCACCACCAGCCAGACAAAACCGCGCUACCCCGCUCCCAGCAUGACCUCUCUGGCCCCUCUCCAUCCAGACCAGUGAACCUCGCCCGGAGCGCUCCCGAUAAAGCCCUUUUACUUCUGUA
Suricata suricatta (meerkat) is the source of this 886-nucleotide long non-coding RNA. RefSeq lists it as uncharacterized. The transcript is spliced from 2 exons. NCBI's taxonomy places the organism in Eukaryota, Metazoa, Chordata, Mammalia, Carnivora, Herpestidae. The record is from RefSeq and is a predicted model, not a curated record.